UUCCUGCGGCUUUUGGUCCCUCCCGCUUGCAGUCCCUCUGGUUCUGCCCACUCCGCCUCCCGGUUGUCAGGGCAACCGUAGCGACGCCGGACCUGGCUGAGAGGCGUUAGGAGCCCCGGCGUUCGCCCGCGGAGGCCGGGGAGCAGCCGACCAUGGAGCCCCAGAGAGCUUGGUCAAUGUGUUCUGGACAAAGCAGGAAGAUGUGACUGAAAUCCUGAAAGGAGCCGGCUCCUGCAGCACAAGAAUAAUGAUACAUCUGGGUACAUUUCUCUUCACAGCAUUUGAUAGUGGCUCCAAAGUGCUUACAAAAUGCACAUCGCUGAAAGGGGUAAAGGAGAGAAAUCUCUUUAUAAAACCUUGAAAAGGAAUAUUCAAAUAUAAACUGGGAAGGUAUAAAAAACUCUCUGUACAUCACAAGUAAACAAAUUGAACCUGCAAAAUAUUAAACAAAGGAUUCGUUAAAAAUAAUAAAAUCUACAUUACUCAA
Molecule: long non-coding RNA, 487 nt
Filed under: Homo sapiens (human)
Lineage: Eukaryota; Metazoa; Chordata; Mammalia; Primates; Hominidae
Description: HSALNT0404741
Source: RNAcentral